GACGAACGCUGGCGGCGUGCUUAACACAUGCAAGUCGAACGGAAAGGCCCCUUUGGGGGUACUCUAGUGGCGAACGGGUGCGUAACACGUAAGUAACCUUCCCUUGACUUCGGGAUAACUUCAGGAAACUGGGGCUAAUACCGGAUAGGAAUCCUUGCUGCAUGGUGGGGGUUGGAAAGCUUCGGCGGUUUUGGAUGGACUGGCGGCUUAUCAGCUUGUUGGUGGGGUAGUGGGUUACCAAGGCUUUGACGGGUAGCCGCACUGAGAGACCGACCGGCCACCUUGGGACUGAGAGAAGGCCGAGACUCGGACGGGAGGCAGAUGGGGGGAAGAUUGAACCAGCGGCGGAGGGUGGGUGCAGCAGCGCUGCGGGCGGGAAGACGGUCUUCGGGUGGUAAACCGCUUGCAGCAGGGGCGAAGCUUGUGGUGACGGUACCUGCAGAAGAAGCACCGGCUAACUACGUG
Molecule: ribosomal RNA, 465 nt
Filed under: uncultured bacterium
Lineage: Bacteria
Description: partial 16S ribosomal RNA
Rfam family: Bacterial small subunit ribosomal RNA
Source: RNAcentral